Molecule: small nuclear RNA, 160 nt
Filed under: Echinops telfairi (small Madagascar hedgehog)
Lineage: Eukaryota; Metazoa; Chordata; Mammalia; Afrosoricida; Tenrecidae
Description: U1 spliceosomal RNA (ENSETEG00000020659.1)
Rfam family: U1 spliceosomal RNA
About the family: U1 is a small nuclear RNA (snRNA) component of the spliceosome (involved in pre-mRNA splicing).
Source: RNAcentral
AGAGUCAGGGGAGAUAACCAUGAUCAACGUAGGUGGUGGCCCCAGGGCGAGGCUUAUCCAUUGCACGCCGGGAUGUGCGAUCCCUGCAAUUUCCCCAAAAGUGGGAAACUCGACUGCAGAAUUUGUGGUAGUUGGGGGACAGUGUUCGUGCUCUCCGGCU